This 332-nucleotide unclassified non-coding RNA is filed under the name soil metagenome. Its description in RNAcentral is "partial contains 5.8S ribosomal RNA, internal transcribed spacer 2, and large subunit ribosomal RNA". The stretch from base 1 to 120 matches the Rfam family "5.8S ribosomal RNA", at positions 35 to 154 of the family's 154-position model. The record is from RNAcentral.
GAUGAAGAACGCAGCAAAAUGCGAUAAGUAAUGUGAAUUGCAGAAUUCAGUGAAUCAUCGAAUCUUUGAACGCACAUUGCGCCCGCCAGUAUUCUGGCGGGCAUGCCUGUUCGAGCGUCAUUUCAACCCUCAAGCACAGCUUGGUGUUGGGACUCGCGUUAAUUCGCGUUCCCCAAAUUGAUUGGCGGUCACGUCGAGCUUCCAUAGCGUAGUAGUAAAACCCUCGUUACUGGUAAUCGUCGCGGCCACGCCGUUAAACCCCAACUUCUGAAUGUUUACCUCGGAUCAGGUAGGAAUACCCGCUGAACUUAAGCAUAUCAAUAAGCGGAGGA